Molecule: ribosomal RNA, 229 nt
Filed under: uncultured bacterium
Lineage: Bacteria
Description: partial 16S ribosomal RNA
Rfam family: Bacterial small subunit ribosomal RNA
Source: RNAcentral
UGCGCAGGCGGGCUUGUAAGUCAGUGGUGAAAUGCUGCCGCUCAACGGUAGAACUGCCAUUGAUACUGCAAGUCUUGAAUAUGGUUGAGGUAGGCGGAAUGUGUCGUGUAGCGGUGAAAUGCAUAGAUAUGACACAGAACGCCAAUUGCGAAGGCAGCUUACUAAGCCAUUAUUGACGCUGAGGCACGAAAGCGUGGGGAGCGAACAGGAUUAGAUACCCUGGUAGUCC